RNA transcript from Mangifera indica (mango), 2057 nucleotides. RefSeq lists it as uncharacterized. The record is from RefSeq and is a predicted model, not a curated record. The transcript has 5 exons. NCBI's taxonomy places the organism in Eukaryota, Viridiplantae, Streptophyta, Magnoliopsida, Sapindales, Anacardiaceae.
UAUUAGUAGACCCCCAAAAAUCUAUUAAAAAAUAUUGAACUUUCUUGCAGUCUCAAUCUCCUAUGAAUUCUCCCGCAUGAUUUCAAUGGAUUCGAUUCAAUCCGAUCCAGAGACACAGAAAAAGACCAAUCCAUGGAUCGCUCGACCUCCUCCGGCAACGACAAGCUUUUCGUCGAGCAUUGUAAGGGCAUCAACGGCCUCAAGAGAGUCAUUUUUAAGGGAGGUCCGUGGCUCAUCUACUGAGGGAGCAAAAUCUAAAAUGACAAUUCGUGAUUCUUCUGCUUUGAUGAUGGAGAACGCAAGGAGUUGCUUGCACUUGUGCAUCCUAAAUUUUGUGGAAAAUUUUCUUUUCAUUUUGUGGUUUAAAAUUUGGGAGAGGCACGUUGGUUGUGAUGAACCAUUGAUUGACAAGCUGUCAUUUGAUUCUCAGUGUUUGAAAUUGUGUGGUGGUAAGGCAUCAGAAGGGGUAUCUGUUGGUGCCUUGUUGUCUAUGUCUUCAACUGCAGCGGCAAUAUUUUGCCAAGUACUUGUCUAGCUGGAGUAUACUUGAUGCUGGGACCGGCAAUGGUCUGCUCCUUCAAGAACUUGCCAGGAAGGGGCACACUCUGAGAUUUUUGCCUAUAGUUCUGGGUUUAUCGGCAAUGAACAGCCAGUUUAAAUGCGGUCAUGGAUGCUGGAAUUUCCAUUACAUCACACAGUCGUCUCUAAUUACAAUUUGCCUUCAGAUGGAGAUAAAUUACAGGUAGCCUAUGCAUUAGAGAAAGCAACUUUGAGUCUUAUCUUAGACUCUACAUUAAACAUUGGUUUAAGAGAUAGAGUUCAUUCUCUUUUCAGAAACAUGUCUCCUCAAAAUGCUUUUAGAGUGAUUGAAAUGGAGCUUGGAUUGAUAUAUGAUCGUCCUUAUACCAAGGCAACUUUACUCUAUGGACGUUACAUCUUCAUCCUGCGCCUCAUCACUUUUCUUCUCACCUGUUUUGUCUUCCUUUUUCUUACUUUUCUUCAUAGCAAAGACAAGUAUUCAAAGAUUGACAUUUGCAUAACAUUCCUUUUACUAGUCGUAGGUAUUUUUCUAGACAUAUAUUCAGCAUUACUCAUACUCUCCUCAGACAGAUUUUACGCUAGGUUAAAUUUUGAUAAAAAGGUCUCCACCUCAAAAUUCCGAAUUUGUUCUCAACCAUCGAAGGGUCCUAGGUGGUCAAAUAAAAUGUGUCAGAUGAGCUUUCUGAGCUGCUUCUUGAAGCUCCCGUGGUUGCGUUCCAAAUUGAUCUGUGAAGGAUUAGAUGAACUGCUAGAUGAGAUGCUAGAAAAGCUAUGGUUGCUCGGUCCACCUGAAGAAAUCUCCAAAGACUUUCAAAAAUCAGUCUUCUAGUAUUUCAAAGAAAAAACUGCCACAAGCCGAAGAGAAAACAAUAGUUUACAAAGAACAGAACGCGGUGAUGAUUGGAUGGUCAGUGAAGCUCCCAAGUUUGAGCAAGACCCAACAAAAGCCAUUUUAUUCUGGCACAUUGUUACAGAAGUUUCCUUCUAUUUGGAUCGAGAUGGAGAGGAUACUAAGAAGCAGUUUGCUGAAAUUGUUGCAAGUUCUGAAAUUAGCAGACGGAUCUCUAAAUACAUGUUCUAUCUCUUAGUUAAGCAUCCUUCCAUGGUAUCCGUUGGCAUAACUCAGGUUAACCUUCAAAGGACAGCUAACGCCACUUACAGGUGGUCAUUUUACAAUUCAACUGAAAAAGUAUGCAAAAGGUUGUUGGAAAGAAAAAUUAGAGGAGAUCAAACUUUAGUUGAUGCGAUUUCGUGUAUCAAAAGAGUGAAGCAAGAGAAAAAGGUAUGUUGAUGCAGUUGCAUGGACACUAGCAUGGGUGGUUACUUCGUAACAUGGGCAGUCACGUGGUUGACCAAGUCUUUACUGUUUUAUUGUCAAUUAAAUAAUAGCCCACUUUCCCCUGUUUAUGUGAACAAAUUGUGGAACAUGGGUCCUUGAUUUGUGUUUAUUUGUUAUUAGUUGUUGAUGCACGUUUGUUAGUUGCUUAAAAUUCUCAUUUUCGCUUUCGUAUUAGAUG